GGCCAUGCCAACAUUGGUGCUGGA
Molecule: non-coding RNA, 24 nt
Filed under: Arabidopsis thaliana (thale cress)
Lineage: Eukaryota; Viridiplantae; Streptophyta; Magnoliopsida; Brassicales; Brassicaceae
Source: RNAcentral